Molecule: microRNA precursor, 127 nt
Filed under: Myotis davidii
Lineage: Eukaryota; Metazoa; Chordata; Mammalia; Chiroptera; Vespertilionidae
Description: mir-9193 microRNA precursor family
Rfam family: mir-9193 microRNA precursor family
Source: Rfam by way of RNAcentral
CGUGCACCGGUGGGGUCCCUCUGCCUGGCCUGCACCCUUUUGAAAUCUGGGACCACUCAGGGGAUGUCAGAGAGCCGGUUUUGGCCCAAUCCCCGCAGGCCAGGCCGAGGGACCCCACCGGUGCACG